This 386-nucleotide unclassified non-coding RNA is filed under the name fungal sp. RNAcentral describes it as "partial internal transcribed spacer region". The stretch from base 1 to 46 matches the Rfam family "Eukaryotic small subunit ribosomal RNA", at positions 1786 to 1831 of the family's 1831-position model. RNAcentral also lists the same sequence under 1 other name. The record is from RNAcentral. Lineage: Eukaryota; Fungi.
AAGUCGUAACAAGGUUUCCGUAGGUGAACCUGCGGAAGGAUCAUUAACACGCAUUUAAAAAGCAUCCAAUAUCAACAAAUCAAAACCAAACGGUCAACUAUCUCCUCCCUAUUUCGCACACCGGAGACGGUACGAGUAGGCUAACAUUGAAAAAUAACACAAGCUCAAUCAAGCAAUUGUUUGUGCAUAUGUUAUUCUUCAAACACAAGAUAACCCCUUUUAAUUUAUAUUAUUUAUUUAAUAUAAACAAACAACUCUUCGAAUUUGCCCUUGAUUUAUCAAGAACCAAUCCGAACUAAACUAAAAUAUACAUUCGAUAUAUUUUUAUUUUACGAAAUAAUAUAUAUUUAUAAGAACAACUCUUAGCAAUGGAUAUCUUGGUUCUC